This 850-nucleotide ribosomal RNA is filed under the name uncultured soil bacterium. RNAcentral describes it as "bacterial SSU rRNA". It matches the Rfam family "Bacterial small subunit ribosomal RNA", at positions 56 to 907 of the family's 1533-position model. The record is from RNAcentral.
UGCAAGUCGAGUGCGCGCUUGUAGCAAUACAGGUUGGCGCACGGCGCACGGGUGCGUAACACGUGGGUAAUCUGCCCUUCGAUGGGGAAUAACUCGCCGAAAGGCGAGCUAAUUCCGCAUAACAUUCCGGGAACUCCGGUUUCUGGAUUCAAAGGCGUAAGUCGUCGGAGGAGGAGCCCGCGCACGAUUAGCUAGUUGGUAGGGUAACGGCCUACCAAGGCUUUGAUCGUUAGCUGGUCUGAGAGGAUGGCCAGCCACACUGGAACUGAGACACGGUCCAGACUCCUACGGGAGGCAGCAGUGGGGAAUCUUGCACAAUGGGCGAAAGCCUGAUGCAGCGACGCCGCGUGGGGGAUGAAGCUUCUCGGAGUGUAAACCCCUUUCGACCCGGACGAAUGCCCCGCAAGGGGACUGACGGUACGGGUAUAAGAAGCCCCGGCUAACUACGUGCCAGCAGCCGCGGUAAGACGUAGGGGGCCAGCGUUGUUCGGAAUUACUGGGUGUAAAGGGUUCGUAGGCGGUGUGGCAAGUCGGGAGUGAAAUUUCUGGGCUCAACUCAGAGACUGCUUCCGAAACUGCUGUGCUGGAGUGUGGGAGAGGCGCGUGGAAUUGCAGGUGUAGCGGUGAAAUGCGUAGAUAUCUGCAGGAACACCCGUGGCGAAAGCGGCGCGCUGGACCACUACUGACGCUGAGGAACGAAAGCUAGGGGAGCAAACAGGAUUAGAUACCCUGGUAGUCCUAGCCCUAAACGAUCAGGAACUUGGGGUGCCACCCGUUCGGGUGUCGUCCCGGAGCUNACGCGUUAAGUCCUGCACCUGGGGAGUACGGUCGCAAGACUGAAACUCAAAGG